This 83-nucleotide transfer RNA is filed under the name Anopheles sinensis. It matches the Rfam family "tRNA". Rfam says of the family: Transfer RNA (tRNA) molecules are approximately 80 nucleotides in length. Their secondary structure includes four short double-helical elements and three loops (D, anti-codon, and T loops). The record is from Rfam by way of RNAcentral. Lineage: Eukaryota; Metazoa; Arthropoda; Insecta; Diptera; Culicidae.
GUCAGAAUGGCCGAGUGUGCAAGGCGCCAGAUUUAAGCUCUGGUUCUUGUGAAAGAGCGUGGGUUCGAACCCCACUUCUUCUG